Labrus mixtus (cuckoo wrasse) is the source of this 2833-nucleotide long non-coding RNA. RefSeq lists it as uncharacterized. The record is from RefSeq and is a predicted model, not a curated record. Lineage: Eukaryota; Metazoa; Chordata; Actinopteri; Labriformes; Labridae. The transcript has 2 exons.
CCAAUGUCUUUCUUGUUCCUGUUGUGCCCGACUGCUGACAAGAGAGAGCACCUUAACAUGAGACAAAUAGUUUAUUCUGAACACAGAAGCAGAGAAAUCUUUAUUCUUAUUGGUUCAUGUCAGUAUGUGUCCUGUAGCUUGGUGUUAUCAGUCUUGACCUGAGAAAAUCACAAAAGUCUUAUGGUAGUUCAAAACUUUCUCAAAGGUGUUCUAGAGGAGUCAUCAUUCCUAUCGUAGCUGAUGAUCUGAACUUUGUAUUAAAUCACAGUGUGUCAUCAUAGCUGGACAGACAGCGUUGAAGAAUCAAAGUUUCUACAACAGUAGAAUAUUAUACAAAACAACACGUGUUGUACAAGGUAAAGAAUCCAAAUACUUUAUAUUUUUAAGAUAUUUUCUAAAAGAAUGGACCUUUAGAAGAAUAUAUUGUGCUAAUGUCAUAUUUUGCAUUUCAAUAUGGAGUACUGCAUUAUUUUGAUGGAGUUUAAUUCAUUAGAUGAUAAACUGUAGUAGAAAAAUGUGUUUGCUACCGACUACUUGUAAAUGUCUGUCCCUCUAUCCUUUGUGCAAUGUGAAGAACCAAAGACUUGUUCUUUCUGAAGAUGGUACAGUAUAUUUUACUGUUUUAUCUGAAAAUGUUUAAAAAAAACAAAAGCAUUCCUUUUCUUAACAGCAGAAUCUGACGUAUUUCAGGGAGCCAUACUUGCUCAUUUGGUACAAACAUGUAAGCUGGGGGAUUGCACAGAUGCCAGGAUUGGCCUCUGAAGGAGAAAGCUGAUUACAUGGCUGAAAAGAGAGGAAACUGGGAAAAGGAAGAGACAACACAGCAGCACUUUAUUUAACAUUCAUUUUGAAAAGCUAAUUUGAUUAUUUACAGACUGUGGAACUUGGCAAGUGGUUUUUGCUUCCAGACAUCCAAAACAUUAUGCACAGACCAAUUCACAUGACAUCUCCUACAAAAUACAAGCCACCUCACAGCAAUGUACAGCUCGCCUCUCAUACACUAAAGGAGGCACCGUUAAUAUCUGUAGGUCACACUAUUCUGCAUCCUGUAUUUCUUUAAGCACCCAAAUUCAAACAUAUGACCAAUCUGGGUGUUGUUUAUCUGGUGCUCUCACUAAUCAAGCAAGCAUGUUUUUUUUGAAAAUUCUUAAAUUAAUCACAUAUCCCGCAAGCAUGCUACAAAGCAUCUACUUUGUAUUUGUAUUUAUUUAAGUAUUUACUCUGUACUCAGUUUUUUACCAUUAGACCUAAAAUGAGUUAGAUAUUUCUGUGCCUUUGCUUUUAACAGACGCCUGCCACACACACUCAAUCUGUUGUUGUGUCCCGUCUGAUGACGGUUCAACCCUCUACACAUGAAGUUGAUCAUCAAGCUGCCAGACUGAUAGUGAUUGUAUAUACCAACACCUCUGCGCAUCCUGUCUUUCCUCAACACUUGUACUUAAAUGCGCUCAAGAAAUUUGCAUGAAAAAGGCCCAAAUCCACAGCAACAAAAACAGCUCCCUGCUCCUGUGGAGGGAGAGUGUGAAAUGUGAUUGGAAUAGGAACAACCCGUGUGACAGGUGAGAGCUUAUCACACCUGACAGACGUAAGCAGCACUUUCCUCCUGAACCCAAAGACCUCUUAAACAAAGACAAGAUAGUCACGUCAAACAUUAUAGGCUACGUAAAAACAAAAGUAAGAGCGAAGCAUCUCCUCAGGCAUUAAACAUGCUAUCAUAGCUUGUCCAUGAGAUAUACAGACUGAUUAUGAACACAGAACUUAAAUGUGUGUGUUUUCCAUUAUGGUCCCUUUUUGCAGAAUGACAGUGCAAAAAAUGUCACUUUGGGUUUAGGCAUCUGUUUGAGGAUUUUUUUUCCUUCAUUUCUGUGGUUCUAUAAAUAUCAUCCUGGGCAUGCAAAGGGAGAGACUAGGCCAGCAGGAAAAAGGCUCAGUUACAGCAAAGUCUUUGGGCAGACGUGGUCACGUGGAGUCCUCAGCAACUAACUUUGUAACCAAAAGAAUCAUAAGUCAUUGGUGUGUGGGAUUUGUUGCAGUCGUGAUCUGAACGCUGCGUGGUGAUGGGAUAACAAAUGUCAAACUGACAAACGAUGACAUGACUUUCACCAUUAUGGAAAAAAAAAUGAAAAGCUAAGGAAAUGUAAAAAGGAGGAUUAGUUUCACAGUGAAAAGUGCAGAUUCAUUAACAUUCAUCACACAACAGUCAGACAUGCAGUAAAUACUGACAAAUAUGGAAUUAAGCCUCUCAUCAUGGUGGACUCACUUCCUUUAUACAAGCCAUACUAAAAUGGUCAUUACUCUUUUUCUGAUUGAAGAAUGUUAAUAAUCUUUCUUUUCUUUAAUUAUCAUCAUUAUUAUAUUAUUAUUUAAACUGCACUUUAUUGACCAUGUAAAUAAACUGUCUACAUACAAAGGUACAUUUUGGUUUUAUAUCAAUUUCCAAAAGCACAAGAUUCAAUGUCAUUUUCUUUAAGCACAAUAAGCCACGACAGAGGUUAAAGCCAAUGCAGACACAUUGUAGAAUUUUCUGAAUCUUUCCCCUUUCUUCAGGGAAUCAUCACCUCCACUCAGCUCUUACUGGUCUGCACACUGCCCACACCGUGUCUGGGGAAAUGUCUGUUUUGUAAAGUUUCAUACUUUGUACCAGUUGACUUUGUUGAAUAUGAUCUUUGUGGUUCCUUGUUGUUGAACGCAUGUAGCGCUACUAAACUUUGUGACACAGGACUUGUAAAUACUAUCUACAGUAAGAAGCUUUAGGACAAAGUCUGUGAUCAGAGAUUCUGGAGAUAUUUCCACCUUUUACUGACUGAUGCUUAAUAAAAGUCAAUAAUCCAGA